AAAAGCUYGUAGUUGGAUCUCAGUUCGGGACGGACGGUCCGCCUAACGGUGGUCACUGUCCGAUCUCAACACCGGCCGGUUUCUCUAGAUGAUCUUCACCGGUUGUCUUGGGUGACCGGCAAGUUUACUUUGAAAAAAUUAGAGUGCUCAAAGCAGGCGUGACGCCUGAAUAAUGGUGCAUGGAAUAAUGGAAUAGGACCUCGGUUCUAUUUUGUUGGUUUUAGGAACACGAGGUAAUGAUUUAGAGGGACAGACGGGGGCAUUCGUAUUGCGACGCUAGAGGUGAAAUUCUUGGACCGUCGCAAGACGAACUACUGCGAAAGCAUUUGCCAAGAAUGUUUCCAUUAAUCAAGAACGAAAGUUAGAGGUUCGAAGGCGAUCAGAUACCGCCCUAGUUCUAACCAUAAACGAUGCCAGCUAGCGAUCCGGCUGUGUUCCUCAAAUGACACGCCGGGCAGCUUCCGGGAAACCAAAGCUUUUGGGUUCCGGGGGAAGUAUGGUUGCAAAGCUGAAACUUAAAGGAAUUGACGGAAGGGCACCACAAGACGUGGAUUUUGCGGCUCAAUUUGACUCAACACGGGUAAAUUUACCCGGCCCGGACACAGGAAGGAUUGACAGAUUAAGAGCUCUUUCUUGAUUCUGUGACAAGUGGUGCAUGGCCGUUCUUAGUUGGUGGAGUGAUUUGUCUGGCUAAUCCCGAUAACGAACGAGAUUCUAACCUACUAAAUAGACGUUCCGAUCCUUCUCAGUCGGACGUUCUUCUUAGAGGGACAGGCGGCGUUCAGCCGCAUGAGACAGAGCAAUAACAGGUCAGUGAUGCCCUUCGAUGUUCGGGGCCGCACGCGUAAUACAUUGAAGGAAUCAGCGUGUGCUUUCCCUGUCCGACAGGACUGGGUAACCCGUUGAAACUCUUUCGUGCUGGGGAUAGGAAUUUGCAAUUAUCUUCCUUGAACGAGGAACGUCUAGUAAGUACGAGUCAUUAACUCGUGUUGAUUAAGUCCCUGCCCUUUGUGCACACCGCCCGUCGCUGCUAGCGAUGAAUGGUUUAGUGAGGUCUCCGGACUGGUGCCCGUACUGGACUUCGGUUCGAGACGGUGUGCUGGAAAGAUGACCAAACUUGAUCAUUUAGAGCUCGCAAAAGUCGUAACAAGAUUUC
RNAcentral lists this ribosomal RNA (1156 nucleotides) under Arkys sp. 'Archemorus' 253 DD-2019. Its description in RNAcentral is "SSU rRNA". It matches the Rfam family "Eukaryotic small subunit ribosomal RNA", at positions 624 to 1823 of the family's 1831-position model. Lineage: Eukaryota; Metazoa; Arthropoda; Arachnida; Araneae; Araneidae. The record is from RNAcentral.